RNAcentral lists this ribosomal RNA (406 nucleotides) under uncultured bacterium. RNAcentral describes it as "partial 16S ribosomal RNA". It matches the Rfam family "Bacterial small subunit ribosomal RNA", at positions 28 to 526 of the family's 1533-position model. The record is from RNAcentral.
GAUGAACGCUAGCUACAGGCUUAACACAUGCAAGUCGAGCGACCGGCGCACGGGUGAGUAACACGUAUCCAUCCCGCCCUUUACUCGGGGAUAGCCUUUCGAAAGAACGAUUAAUACCCGACGUAAUGGACGGGGAUGCGUUCCAUUAGGUUGUUGUUGAGGUAACGGCUCACCAAGCCUUCGAUGGAUCGGGGUUCUGAGAGGAAGGUCCCCCACAUUGGAACUGAGGCACGGUCCAAACUCCUACGGGAGGCAGCAGUGAGGAAGAUUGGUCAAUGGGCGUUAGCCUGAACCAGCCAAGUAGCGUGAAGGAUGAAGGCUUAUGGGUCGUAAACUUCUUUUAUAUAAGAAUAUGUAUUAUAUGAAUAAGGAUCGGCUAACUACGUGCCAGCAGCCGCGGUAAUAC